This is a long non-coding RNA of Gallus gallus (chicken), 3031 nucleotides long. The record is from Ensembl. NCBI's taxonomy places the organism in Eukaryota, Metazoa, Chordata, Aves, Galliformes, Phasianidae.
UUCAUUACUGGGUGCAGCUCUUCCCAGGCGUGAGAGAGCCUAACUGCAUUCUCCUAUCGCAAAGCCCUCGCUCUCAGCAACAUGAGAAUGCCAAUGAAGAUCACACUGAAAGAUCCUGCUGGAGCCAAAUUAAUGAUCUUUAGGCUACAGUUCAUAGUAGCAAAAAUAUAAACCUUGUUUAUAUAUGAAGGAUGAGGCAGAGAUAAUGAAAGCGAGAAAAUAAAUUGAACUGAGAGGAAGGAGGUUAAAAGAGGAGAGGAAUUACGGAAGAGUGGAUGAGAGCAGAGCAGACAGGAAUUCAAGGGAACGGGCAAUACAAAAGUGAGAGAGCACAUACCAGUAUAAGAAUUGUCAUACCACAUCUGAGCCACUGCCCUUGAUGCUCAACAUCUUGUUUCUGCUAGAAACGAGGACUAAAAAAUGCUUCAGAGCAUGGAGCAAGAAAACUGUCCAGUGAAAAUCUAUGGUGUAAUGAGACCAUCAAGGAAGUUUUCCUCCAGCUGAGAUUAUUUGAAGCCCUGAUCCUCUGAGUUCCACCACUACGCCAUGUCUCUUAGUGCCAUGUCCACACUUCUCUUAAAUCUCUCCAGAGAUUGUCACCCUUCCAUCUCCCAGGGUAGUCCCUUCCAGUACCUGACCACCCUCUCCAUAAAGAAAUUCCUCCUGAUAUCCAAUCUAAAUCUCCUCUCAUGAAACUUGAGACCACUGAAGCAUAGAGAGCUACCAAGCAACUCCACUAAAACUCCUCUCCAGCGAAGGGGCAAAGAGUGGUAAUUGUCCCAGCACUACACCUCUUCUGAUAGUAAAACAGAUGGUGCUCUCCAUGCUUGCUCAGCCAGCACUGCUCGUGGACCUAAAGUAGGAUGAACAAAACCAAGAGGGAAUCUAGGAAUGCCAUUAUCCAAGGAUUUUACUUCAGUAAUUCAAGACAACACAAAACCCAGAAAUCCCUCAGAGUAACCCCUUUUAUUCCUUCAGGUGAGCUCUUCUCAUGAUGACUCUAGUAUCCAGAUGUUAAGUAGAAGUGACAGCCAGAUCAGGUCCUGUGCACCUGUGCAUGACAGAUAUUUCUUCAGGAGGAGGGAACCAGAGGAAAGAAGCUGCUGCCCAGCAUUCACCAUGAGUGCAGAAGAGGGGUCAUAUAUGAAUGUUUUAUCUCCUUUCAGGACAGUGAAUCAUCAUAUCAGAAAUGUCUGAUGUGUCACUUGUGUCAGCCUGUUGUCCAGAAUAAGCUUGUAUUGCUCAUGGUUGUUACUUCUGUUGAGAUUUAAUACAGGAUCUACUAAUUCUGUGGUAUUGCCAUCCUUACUGUGGGCAUAGAUUUUUAUAUGUGCCUUGGACAAAAAAAUAUAAGAAAAUGCUUCCUAUACACCACCCAUAUGCCCCAGAGUGCUUCAGUUCGUGAGCCUUCACUUACUUACUUUGUAAUAGAAACUUCACUUUUAGGAGAGUAAAUGGAAUUCCAUCUUAGCGGGAAAUCCUAUUCCAGAAAACAUGCAAAUUUUUUUAUCUUCUGAGAAAUAAAACCCUUUCAAGACAUGACAAGGUGAAAAAGAGAGUAUCUGGCAAGAAUUCCCAUGCUGCCAUAGCAGAGUGACCCUUUACAAUGCUGAUUUAAAUGGCAUGCCUCUUUUCAUAUUGCAUUAGUGUUUCAACUUCUGCCUCUCCUUGAGUUUAGCUUCUGGGAUUUUGCAAUUUAUAGUCCAAUGUUCUGCUUUUUUUGCUUCUAGUCUCGUGUUGCUGGCUUUGCCCAAGCCUGUAAAACCAGAUGACCAUCUUGCUCUGACAAAUUUGCUCAGGGUCAGCAGGGUAAAAAGUCUGACAGGGGAGUUAUAAAAAAAGAAAUGCACAAAGACAUGGGCAGAAUUUCUCCUCAAACACAGCUAGGUCAGCUCCAGACUCACUCUUUGUUUAUGGCAUAGCUGCCACUGUUUGCGCUCUGGGGAGGGAGAGGGAAGAGAAGCAGUGCUGGAGGAAUUUGAAUAUGCAGUACAGAGAGCACACUUGUUUGCCGUGGCACCUGAUAGACCCCCUCAUCACGCAAAUGUCUGAGCGUAACAGAUUGCUUUUUCUCUGAGAUUCAGAUUGGAAAUGCUUGGCAGACAAAAUAAAGGAAUGAGUGUUUUCUAAAAAUAGUUGAUCUGUUUUUCCUAUGACAAACAAAGAUUUAUGCAGACCCAAAUUAAUAACAAUAUGUUUCACAUUUCCUGGUCUGACUGCUAUGUGUAUCUCAUCAAUUGAUAUCUUUAUGCAUAGGAUACAGAAAAUAAAACUUGCAAGAGUAGCAUUUUUCAGAGGAUGAAAAGAAGAGGACGGUGUUCCCAGAAAAUAAGGCUAUGCUUUGUGCAAGAGAGUGGGAGCACUGGGCAACAGGAAGAGGGAUGCUGUGUACCAACUGUCCACCCCCUAAAGUGAGAUGUGAACAUUUAUGUCUGCUUUGGGGCAAAGACUCAUGACAUAUUAGCCCCCUGUUAACUGGGAAAGAAAGGAUUAAGUAAUAGACCAACAAUCCUGUGAAGAUUUUCUAUGUGAUACUAAGCAUGUCAUUUAGGGACUUGUCUCAGCUGCCUUUAGCCAUGUACAAGUUAGAGAGCUUUUUAAAACUACUUAAAGGGUAAGAGAUGUGUGUAUCCAAGAAGCAAUCAGCUCGUAAUUUCAGGGUGAUCUGCCUUGCAGACAACCCAGCAACUGCAGCUCAGUGCCUGGUUAAACCUCUCUGUUGUCUGGCUGCACUGAGUGGGUAAGUGCCUGGUGCUCCAGACUCACGGUGUGCUUAUAUAGGGCUGAGUGCCUGAACCCCGGAUCUCCUGUGGGACUGCUAAGCCAUUCUGCAGGAAUAAGUGAAUAAUAGCAGCAGUUUAUUGCCUCGGGCAUAGCAAAUGUGGAGCUUUGUAGCAGGAGGUAUCCUGAUCCGGAGAACUGCAGUGUGAACAGGCUUCCUAACUAAGCAUCCUAUAUGGUUUUGUGUUUCGACUUCUGUAAUUUAUAAACCCACUGACAAUAAAACCAGGAAAGCUGGCUCCACUGAAUG